CUGCUCAUUUCAGCUGCAUGUAUACUACAACUGGAAUGAUACAGAGAGGAUUAGCAUGGCUCCUGUGAAAGGAUGACACACAAAUUCAUGAAGCACUCCACAUUAAA
Gorilla gorilla gorilla (western lowland gorilla) is the source of this 107-nucleotide small nuclear RNA. The record is from Ensembl. Lineage: Eukaryota; Metazoa; Chordata; Mammalia; Primates; Hominidae.